UACGAAGGGGGCUAGCGUUGCUCGGAAUCACUGGGCGUAAAGGGCGCGUAGGCGGCCUGAUAAGUCGGGGGUGAAAGCCUGUGGCUCAACCACAGAAUUGCCUUCGAUACUGUUAGGCUUGAGUAUGGUAGAGGUUGGUGGAACUGCGAGUGUAGAGGUGAAAUUCGUAGAUAUUCGCAAGAACACCGGUGGCGAAGGCGGCCAACUGGACCAUUACUGACGCUGAGGCGCGAAAGCGUGGGGAGCGAUCCGG
Molecule: ribosomal RNA, 253 nt
Filed under: uncultured bacterium
Lineage: Bacteria
Description: partial 16S ribosomal RNA
Rfam family: Bacterial small subunit ribosomal RNA
Source: RNAcentral